Molecule: non-coding RNA, 207 nt
Organism: Pelobates cultripes (western spadefoot toad)
Lineage: Eukaryota; Metazoa; Chordata; Amphibia; Anura; Pelobatidae
Source: the annotation of a GenBank genome assembly
CCUGUUUUAAGGACUGCUGUGCAGGGUUAGCUCUUAAGCAGAGACUGUGCGCUGGUAGUUGUCAGCCAAUGAUCCUCGGUACGAUAUCAAACCAUUAGCAAACUGUUUGACUACUUUCAUUGGAGGAGGGACACCAUGGCACUCCUAGCACACAACCACUAUAGCCAGCUAUGAUGGUUGUGGUGCUUGGAGUGUUAUAACAUAUUG